This 315-nucleotide ribosomal RNA is filed under the name uncultured Leptolinea sp. RNAcentral describes it as "bacterial SSU rRNA". It matches the Rfam family "Bacterial small subunit ribosomal RNA", at positions 1053 to 1382 of the family's 1533-position model. Lineage: Bacteria; Bacillati; Chloroflexota; Anaerolineae; Anaerolineales; Anaerolineaceae. The record is from RNAcentral.
CGUCAGCUCGUGUCGUGAGAUGUUCGGUUAAGUCCGCUAACGAGCGCAACCCUCGUCGUGUGUUAUACGUGUCACACGAUACUGCCGGUAUCAAGCCGGAGGAAGGUGGGGAUGAUGUCAAGUCAGCAUGGCCUUUAUAUCCUGGGCUACACACACGCUACAAUGGCAGAUACAAUAGGUUGCGAAACCGCGAGGUGGAGCCAAUCCUCAAAGUCUGUCUCAGUUCAGAUUGUAGGCUGCAACUCGCCUGCAUGAAGUUGGAGUUGCUAGUAAACGCAGGUCAGCUAUACUGCGUUGAAUACGUUCCCGGGCCUU